AAGCAUAUCAAUAAGCGGAGGAAAAGAAACCAACAGGGAUUGCCUCAGUAACGGCGAGUGAAGCGGCAAAAGCUCAAAUUUGAAAUCUAGCACUUUCAGUGUUCGAGUUGUAAUUUGAAGAAGGUAACUUUGGUUUUGGCUCUUGUCUAUGUUCCUUGGAACAGGACGUCACAGAGGGUGAGAAUCCCGUGCGAUGAGAUGCCCAAUUCCAUGUAAAGUGCUUUCGAAGAGUCGAGUUGUUUGGGAAUGCAGCUCUAAGUGGGUGGUAAAUUCCAUCUAAAGCUAAAUAUUGGCGAGAGACCGAUAGCGAACAAGUACAGUGAUGGAAAGAUGAAAAGAACUUUGAAAAGAGAGUGAAAAAGUACGUGAAAUUGUUGAAAGGGAAGGGCUUGAGAUCAGACUUGGUAUUUUGCGUUCCCUUCCUUUUUGGUUGGGUUCCUCGCAGUUUACUGGGCCAGCAUCGGUUUGGAUGGUAGGAUAAUGACAUUGGAAUGUAGCUUUACUUCGGUGAAGUGUUAUAGACUUUGUUGAUACUGCCUAUCUAGACCGAGGACUGCGUCUUUGACUAGGAUGCUGGCGUAAUGAUCUUAAGCCGCCCGUCUUGAAACACGGACCAAGGAGUCUAACGUCUAUGCAAGUGUUUGGGUGUAAAACCCGUACGCGUAAUGAAAGUGAACGUAGGUGAGAGCCUUUUAGGUGCAUCAUCGACCGAUCCUGAUGUCUUCGGAUGGAUUUGAGUAAGAGCAUAGCUGUUGGGACCCGAAAGAUGGUGAACUAUGCCUGAAUAGGGUGAAGCCAGAGGAAACUCUGGUGGAGGCUCGUAGCGGUUCUGACGUGCAAAUCGAUCGUCGAAUUUGGGUAUAGGGGCGAAAGACUAAUCGAACCAUCUAGUAGCUGGUUCCUGCCGAG
RNAcentral lists this ribosomal RNA (909 nucleotides) under Dujonia zeylanoides. RNAcentral describes it as "LSU rRNA". It matches the Rfam family "Eukaryotic large subunit ribosomal RNA", at positions 36 to 965 of the family's 3401-position model. The record is from RNAcentral. Lineage: Eukaryota; Fungi; Ascomycota; Pichiomycetes; Serinales; Debaryomycetaceae.